UGGGGAAUAUUGGACAAUGGGCGAAAGCCUGAUCCAGCAAUGCCGCGUGUGUGAAGAAGGUCUUCGGAUUGUAAAGCACUUUCGACGGGGACGAUGAUGACGGUACCCGUAGAAGAAGCCCCCGGCUAACUUCGUGCCAA
This 140-nucleotide ribosomal RNA is filed under the name uncultured bacterium. RNAcentral describes it as "partial 16S ribosomal RNA". It matches the Rfam family "Bacterial small subunit ribosomal RNA", at positions 355 to 511 of the family's 1533-position model. The record is from RNAcentral.